This 624-nucleotide ribosomal RNA is filed under the name Naganishia albida. Its description in RNAcentral is "eukaryotic LSU rRNA". It matches the Rfam family "Eukaryotic large subunit ribosomal RNA", at positions 38 to 667 of the family's 3401-position model. The record is from RNAcentral. Lineage: Eukaryota; Fungi; Basidiomycota; Tremellomycetes; Filobasidiales; Filobasidiaceae.
GCAUAUCAAUAAGCGGAGGAAAAGAAACUAACAAGGAUUCCCCUAAGUACGGCGAGUGAAGCGGGAAGAGCUCAAAUUUGAAAUCUGGUAGCCUUCGGUUGCCCGAGUUGUAAUCUAGAGAAGUGUUUUCCGUGCCGGCCCAUGUACAAGUCCCUUGGAACAGGGCGUCAUAGAGGGUGAGAAUCCCGUCCUUGACAUGGACCCCCGGUGCUUUGUGAUACACUUUCAACGAGUCGAGUUGUUUGGGAAUGCAGCUCAAAAUGGGUGGUGAAUUCCAUCUAAAGCUAAAUAUUGGCGAGAGACCGAUAGCGAACAAGUACCGUGAGGGAAAGAUGAAAAGCACUUUGGAAAGAGAGUUAAACAGUACGUGAAAUUGUUGAAAGGGAAACGAUUGAAGUCAGUCAUGCUCUUGGGACUUACCUCCCUUGAGUGGGGUCAACAUCAGUUUUGAUCGAUGGAUAAAGGCACGGGGAAGGUAGCACUCUCGGGUGAACUUAUAGCCUCGCGUCAUAUACAUUGAUUGGGACUGAGGAACGCAGCAUGCCUUAUGGCCGGGAUUCGUCCACGUACAUGCUUAGGAUGUUGACAUAAUGGCUUUAAACGACCCGUCUUGAAACACGGACC